RNAcentral lists this microRNA precursor (103 nucleotides) under Schmidtea mediterranea. RNAcentral describes it as "microRNA sme-mir-216 precursor". Its record names the gene sme-mir-216. Lineage: Eukaryota; Metazoa; Platyhelminthes; Tricladida; Dugesiidae. The record is from miRBase by way of RNAcentral.
CCUGUCAUGAUUUAGCAAGCAAUCUCAGCCUGUUAAUAGGAGUUUGGAAAUGUUUAAAUACUCCUAUAACGUCUGAUGAUUACUUGUCAAAUCAUUUUACCAA